This is a long non-coding RNA of Camelina sativa (false flax), 380 nucleotides long. RefSeq lists it as uncharacterized. The record is from RefSeq and is a predicted model, not a curated record. Lineage: Eukaryota; Viridiplantae; Streptophyta; Magnoliopsida; Brassicales; Brassicaceae.
GUCUCUCUCUCGUUGAGGCGCUGUCAAAAAGAGUUAGUCUCAUCGUGCGGCUGUGCCAGGAUGUACAAGGAUGGUAGCAUCAUUCCAUUAGAUGAUUCUUUGGGGUAUUGCUGCAAUUUUUUCAUAUAUGCUGGGAUAUGGUAGUCCUCAGAUGAAAGAGCUCAUGAGGCUUUAUGUCACCAUCCACAGGUUCCGAGCCAGCCAAGCAAUGGCCCCUAUGGCUAUCUUGAAGGAGAUUCUGCCACGAUCCAAGGAAGCCUUUGAAGAACUAUUGCCAGAAUAUGAUUGUCUUUAGGGACUAGUUCCAGCCCAAUCAGUUCUGGUAAUGUGUUUGUAUGACUGCAUAUGUCUCUCUAUUGAAGUGUUCACUCUGGUUUUGU